UCUUAUUUCGAUCAAAAAAUA
Molecule: non-coding RNA, 21 nt
Filed under: Caenorhabditis elegans
Lineage: Eukaryota; Metazoa; Nematoda; Chromadorea; Rhabditida; Rhabditidae
Source: RNAcentral